This 2477-nucleotide ribosomal RNA is filed under the name human gut metagenome. RNAcentral's name for it is "bacterial LSU rRNA". It matches the Rfam family "Bacterial large subunit ribosomal RNA", at positions 34 to 2514 of the family's 2925-position model. The record is from RNAcentral.
UGGCAUCAGGAGCCGAAGAAGGACGUGACAAGCUGCGAUAAGCUUCGGGGAGGUGCAAAUAACCGUCGAUCCGGAGAUUUCCGAAUGGGGAAACCCGGCAGAGCAAUACUCUGUCAGCGUGCGUUGAAUGAAAUAGGCGUACGUGGGGAACCGCCUGAACUGAAACAUCUAAGUAGGGCGAGGAAGAGAAAUCAACCGAGAUUCUGUGAGUAGUGGCGAGCGAAAGCGGAAGAGGCUAAACCAUAGGUAGCAAUACUUAUGGGGUUUCGGACAGCAUUUAGUAUUGAUAAUUUCUAGUUGAAACGUGUGGGAAAACGUACCGAAGAGUGUGAGAGUCACGUAAGCGAAAGAGAAAGUCAGCGAGCUGUAUCCAAAGUACCGCGGGACACGUGAAACCCCGUGGGAAGAUGGGGGGACCAUCCUCCAAGCCUAAAUACUACCUAAUGACCGAUAGCGAAUAGUACUGUGAAGGAACGGUGAAAAGAACCCCGGGAGGGGAGUGAAAAAGAACCUGAAACCCUAUGUUUACAAGCACCGAGAGCACGUCAAAGUGUGAUCGGGUACCUUUUGUAGAAUGGUCCGGCGAGUGAAUGUAACUGGCGAGGUUAAGUUCUUAAGGAACGGAGCCGAAGCGAAAGCAAGUCUGAAUAGGGCGUCUUAGUCAGUUGUAUUCGACCCGAAACCGGGUGACCUAUCCAUGUCCAGGAUGAAGUUAAGGUAAAACUUGAUGGAGGUCCGAACCCACGGUCGUUGAAAUGCCCGGGGAUGAGAUGUGGAUAGCGGAGAAAUUCCAAUCGAACCCGGAUAUAGCUGGUUCUCUCCGAAAUAGCUUUAGGGCUAGCCUCGACUGAACAUUACCGGAGGUAGAGCACUGAAUGGGCUAGGGGCCGAGAGGUUACUGAACCCUAUCAAACUUCAAAUGCCGGAAAAUGAUAGUCGGGAGUCAGACUGCGUGAGAUAAGUUUCGUAGUCGAAAGGGAAACAGCCCAGACCCACAGCUAAGGUCCCAAAGUACGGUUAAGUGGAAAAGGAUGUGGAGUUGCACAGACAACCAGGAUGUUGGCUUAGAAGCAGCCACUCAUUAAAAGAGUGCGUAAUAGCUCACUGGUCGAGUGACUCUGCGCCGAAAAUUUAACGGGGCUAAAUCGUACACCGAAGCUUGGGAAUAUCAGUUAUUCUUCAUGGACUUGCAAGGAAAGAGACCAUGGCACGAAGUGCCAUCAAAUUGUCCAUAAGGAUAAAGCGAGCUUGUGAAGAAUAACUGAUAUUGGUAGGAGAGCGUUGAAUGCGGGGUGAAGUCAGAGCGAAAGCGCUGGUGGACUGCAUUGAAGUGAGAAUGCCGGAAUGAGUAGCGAGAUUUAUGUGAGAAUCAUAAAGGCCGAAAGACUAAGGUUUCAGAAGGAAGGUUCGUCCGCUUCUGGUUAGCCGGGAGCUAAGGUGAGGCCGAAAGGCGUAGCCGAUGCACAUACGGUGGAGAUUCCGUAGCCGUCGAAAUAUUUAAGCAAAGGGACACUUAUGAAGGACAUGACCCGGGCGAUGGUAGCCCCGGGCGUAAGGGACUGAAAACAAGUAAGGAAGCAUGUUUGGAUUAAGGCGAGAAAAGCUUUGUGUAUAUAUGAGACGUCCGUACCGCAAACCGACACAGGUAGUCAGGAAGAGGAUUCUAAGGCCAACGGGAGAAGGGUAGUUAAGGAACUCGGCAAAUUGACCCCGUAACUUCGGGAUAAGGGGCGGUGCGUAAGCACCCGCAGUGAAUAGGUCCAGGCGACUGUUUAUCAAAAACACAGCUCUCUGCUAAAUCGAAAGAUGACGUAUAGGGGGUGACACCUGCCCGGUGCUGGAAGGUUAAGAGGAGGAGUGCAAGCUCCGAAUUGAAGCCCCAGUAAACGGCGGCCGUAACUAUAACGGUCCUAAGGUAGCGAAAUUCCUUGUCGGGUAAGUUCCGACCCGCACGAAUGGUGUAACGAUCUGGACGCUGUCUCAACUGCCCACCCGGCGAAAUUGUAGUACCGGUGAAGAUGCCGGUUACCCGCGGCAAGACGGAAAGACCCCAUGGAGCUUUACUGUAACUUGAUAUUGGGUCUUGGUAUUCUAUGUACAGGAUAGGCGGGAGACUAUGAAACAUACACGCCAGUGUAUGCGGAGUCACCCUUGGGAUACCGCUCUUAGAGUACUGAGAUUCUAACCUGCGGCCGUGAAUCCGGUCGGGGGACAUUGUCAGGUGGGCAGUUUGACUGGGGCGGUCGCCUCCUAAAAGGUAACGGAGGCGCUCAAAGGUUAGCUCAGCACGGUCGGAAACCGUGCCUCUGAGUGCAAACGCAAAAGCUAGCCUAACUGCGAGGCUGACGGGCCGAGCAGUAACGAAAGUUGGAGUUAGUGAUCCGGCGGUAUGUGAAUGGAAAUGCCGUCGCUCAACGGAUAAAAGCUACCCUGGGGAUAACAGGCUGAUCUCCCCCAAGAGUCCACAUCGACGGGGA